UACGAAGGGUGCAAGCGUUACUCGGAAUCACUGGGCGUAAAGCGUGCGUAGGCGGUUCGUUAAGUCUGCUGUGAAAGCCCUGGGCUCAACCUGGGAACUGCAGUGGAUACUGGCGGACUAGAGUGUGAUAGAGGAUGGUGGAAUUCCCGGUGUAGCGGUGAAAUGCGUAGAGAUCGGGGAGGAACACCAGUGGCGAAGGCGGCCAUCUGGAUCAACACUGACGCUGAGGCACGAAAGCGUGGGGAGCAAACAGG
Molecule: ribosomal RNA, 254 nt
Filed under: uncultured bacterium
Lineage: Bacteria
Description: partial 16S ribosomal RNA
Rfam family: Bacterial small subunit ribosomal RNA
Source: RNAcentral